Molecule: long non-coding RNA, 1532 nt
Organism: Alligator mississippiensis (American alligator)
Lineage: Eukaryota; Metazoa; Chordata; Crocodylia; Alligatoridae
Exons: 3
Source: RefSeq, a predicted model, not a curated record
ACAAACAGGGCAGUUCGGCUGCAAGGAGGUCAGGCAACAACAUUGCCUGGCUGGAGAGCUCCUAGUAUCAUCUGGAGGGCGGCUACAAAGAAGUUCAGUCUUGCCUGUCCAUGCUGAGUUGUUACUUGCAAUGUUUGAAUACACUGUUUUAUUUCUAUAAAGUGAGGGCUACAACAUUCAAGGAGUGCCUGUUUUCAAGCUUUUUUUCUCCAUAACCACAAGGUUGGAAAUGUUUCUUGUUUAUACUGAAAAGUUGAGAUUCCUACAAAAAAGUUUCAUAGUCUGGAGUCCUGUGUCAUGGGGAGAAGCCACAUAAGAUAGCAAAGACAUUGACUUUUUCAGAAUUGUACACAAAAACAUUACAAUCGGAAUAUUGGACUGAUCUCUUAUAAGCCCUUUCAAAAUGUUGUCAAAGGAAGUGAAGAAAUAUACCAGGAGCACCUCCUUUAAACACCUCCUCAUUGCAGUCCUUUUCUGAGUGCAUAUAUUAGCAGCGUGACCAUCCAUCAAAAGUGAAGAGAAAGACCCAAAGCCACAACUGCACUCUUACUGCACUCUUACUUAGCAUUUUGCAGGCCGUUGCCCAUCACAACACCAGGGGCACUAAGCACACCACUCCCAAAGUGGGCCAGGAGCUAUAGACCACAGUAUCUAAUACAUGGACAUGUGUUUGCCACACCUCAAUCUGUAACUCCACAUUUUUUUUUUCAUGGCUUGAUACCUCAAAAUGGCAUGCUUUUAAAAGGACUUCCUCAGCGUGGAUGAUUUCUUGCUGAAUCAGCUAGCCUUAUGGGGACUCAAUUUUUACAGCUGUCAGCCUUUCAUUCUAGAGAAGCCUCAAAAUAUUUAGCAAUGAAUCAAGCUCUAUGGUAACUUACUGGUAUUUUUUUUGCUGAAAUGAUAGUGUCGCUACAGCAGUAAUUCCCAUUUCCAUAACAAAAUUGUGCAUUACUUAUCCAGCUAUUUGAAAGACAGUAUUAAAGUGGAUCCAUUUUAUCAAUUUAUAUGUUCAUCCAUAAGUCCUCCUUUUUUUAAACAUAGCAUAUUUUAAAGAUAAUUGCCAUAUUAAAAUGUACCACUUUUGUUUCCCAGAAAGUGUCUAUGCCAAAACAAAAAAUAAUCCUCUCUAUUUAUUGGGAAUCAAUCUGUAAUCCUAUUGUGGGUUUGUAUGUUUUUGUUUUUUCAUUCCAUAAUAAAAACAAACCCCCCCCCCUGAAUAUCAGAUUCCAAAAUGUAGGCCUUACAAACUAUCUGUUUUUUCAUAUUUCAUUUUAGUCCAUCAAUACUCUAAAAUUGGUGCAAUAAAAGUAUUCUUCCUAAUAAUGUUUUCCAGUACAUGGGCCCAUAGGUACUAAUACUGCUGUUUCUAUACUGCAUUUAUUUACAUGAAUAGUUCCUUUGUUUUCAAUAGGACUCACUGCAUAUUAAUUCUGCUUUCCAUGAGAGAGAACUGCAAUGUCAGGCCUUUUAUUAAUUGCAAAUUCUCCCAAUAUGGAACCUCAAUCCUACAUGUGGCAAUGUUCCUAUCUAGA